UUGGCCAAAAAGUUCAUUUGGGUUUGUCUGUAACAUCUUAUGGAAAAACCUGAACGAACUUUUUGGCCGAC
RNAcentral lists this microRNA precursor (71 nucleotides) under Ovis aries (sheep). RNAcentral describes it as "miRNA (ENSOARG00000022273.1)". Lineage: Eukaryota; Metazoa; Chordata; Mammalia; Artiodactyla; Bovidae. The record is from RNAcentral.